Molecule: ribosomal RNA, 482 nt
Filed under: uncultured bacterium
Lineage: Bacteria
Description: SSU rRNA
Rfam family: Bacterial small subunit ribosomal RNA
Source: RNAcentral
AGGAUGAACGCUGGCGGCGUGCCUAACACAUGCAAGUCGAACGCUCUCCAUUCGGUAGCAAUACCGAUGAAGAGGGAGUGGCGAACGGGUGAGUACCACGUGAGCAACCUGCCCCGAAGACUGGGACAACACCGGGAAACCGGGAUUAAUACCGGAUACAACCACUUUAGACAUCUUUUGUGGUGGAAAGAAUUUUGGCUAGGGAUGAACUCGCGGCCUAUCAGCUUGUUGGUGAGGUAACGGCUCACCAAGGCGACGACGGGUAGCCGGCCUGAGAGGGCGACCGGCCACACUGGGACUGAGACACGGCCCAGACUCCUACGGGAGGCAGCAGUGGGGAAUAUUGCGCAAUGGGCGAAAGCCUGACGCAGCGACGCCGCGUGGGGAUGAAGGCCUUCGGGUUGUAACCCUUUCAGCAGGGACGAAGCGAAAGUGACGGUACCUGCAGAAGAAGCGCCGGCUAACUACGCGCCAGCAGCCGC